GGAAUACCACAUGAUUUGGUUUUGAUUGGUUCAGGAUCAGAAACUGAUAACUGUUACUUUUCAAAGGGAACUACUGUCACCUGAAGCGAAUUGUGUGCUAGAAAAAACCACCAACACAGCUAACACUACCACUGUACAAAAGCCCAUCGAUUCAUAUUAUUUUGGUAAUGUGUAAGUUGUGCUAUUGUUAUUUUGGUCAGGCAGUUAAUUGGCCACCUAUGGCUGAGCACUAUAAAGCUGAGGUUUCAUUAGGACCUCUUCCUUUUCUGGCAUCUUCAGGAGUGGGAUCGAAGUCCAGCUGUUGCAGGCUGACUGUUGAAGUAAUUUGAUUCUUUUGUGUUUGAUGGUGUGCGUGCAUCUAGUGAACCACACACAUAAAUACAUACAAACUCUGAUCACACAUUGAUCAUUCUUACUCUGUGUUGUGGGUGUGAAGACUCAAUAAAGACUCAUUUCUUUGGA
Eleginops maclovinus (Patagonian blennie) is the source of this 462-nucleotide long non-coding RNA. RefSeq lists it as uncharacterized. The record is from RefSeq and is a predicted model, not a curated record. The transcript is spliced from 2 exons. NCBI's taxonomy places the organism in Eukaryota, Metazoa, Chordata, Actinopteri, Perciformes, Eleginopidae.